GUGCCUUUAGCUCAGCUGGAUAGAGCAACUGCCUUCUAAGCAGUAGGUCGAGGGUUCGAGUCCCCCAAGGCACGCCA
RNAcentral lists this transfer RNA (77 nucleotides) under Oscillospiraceae bacterium. RNAcentral's name for it is "tRNA-Arg". It matches the Rfam family "tRNA". Rfam says of the family: Transfer RNA (tRNA) molecules are approximately 80 nucleotides in length. Their secondary structure includes four short double-helical elements and three loops (D, anti-codon, and T loops). The record is from RNAcentral. Lineage: Bacteria; Bacillati; Bacillota; Clostridia; Eubacteriales; Oscillospiraceae.